AUUGAACGCUGGCGGCAUGCCUUACACAUGCAAGUCGAACGGCAGCACGGGAGCAAUCCUGGUGGCGAGUGGCGAACGGGUGAGUAAUAUAUCGGAACGUGCCCAGUCGUGGGGGAUAACGUAGCGAAAGCUACGCUAAUACCGCAUACGAUCUAUGGAUGAAAGCGGGGGAUCGCAAGACCUCGCGCGAUUGGGGCGGCCGAUAUCAGAUUAGGUAGUUGGUGAGGUAAAGGCUCACCAAGCCGACGAUCUGUAGCUGGUCUGAGAGGACGACCAGCCACACUGGGACUGAGACACGGCCCAGACUCCUACGGGAGGCAGCAGUGGGGAAUUUUUGGACAAUGGGCGCAAGCCUGAUCCAGCAAUGCCGCGUGCAGGAUGAAGGCC
This 387-nucleotide ribosomal RNA is filed under the name uncultured bacterium. Its description in RNAcentral is "bacterial SSU rRNA". It matches the Rfam family "Bacterial small subunit ribosomal RNA", at positions 30 to 416 of the family's 1533-position model. The record is from RNAcentral.